RNAcentral lists this ribosomal RNA (669 nucleotides) under marine sediment metagenome. RNAcentral describes it as "SSU rRNA". It matches the Rfam family "Bacterial small subunit ribosomal RNA", at positions 903 to 1501 of the family's 1533-position model. The record is from RNAcentral.
AAAGGAAUUGACGGGGGCCCGCACAAGCGGUGAGCAUGUGGUUUAAUUCGACGCAACGCGAAGAACCUUACCGGGACUUGACAUUAUCUUGCCCGUCUAAGAAAUUAGAUCUUCUUCCUUUCGGGGAAGACAGGAUAACAGGUGGUGCAUGGUUGUCGUCAGCUCGUGUCGUGAGAUGUUGGGUUAAGUCCCACAACGAGCGCAACCCUUGUGCCUAGUUGCUAACUUGUUUUACAAGUGCACUCUAGGCAGACUGCCGCAGAUAAUGCGGAGGAAGGUGGGGAUGACGUCAAAUCAUCAUGCCCCUUACGUCCCGGGCUACACACGUGCUACAAUGGUCUGUACAGAGGGUAGCGAAAGAGCGAUCUUAAGCCAAUCCCAAAAAGCAGGCCCCAGUUCGGAUUGGAGGCUGCAACUCGCCUCCAUGAAGUAGGAAUCGCUAGUAAUCGCGGAUCAGCAUGCCGCGGUGAAUACGUUCCCGGGCCUUGUACACACCGCCCGUCACACCACGAAAGUUGGCGAUACCUGAAGUUACUAGGCUAACCUGGCACUCAACUAAGCACAUUAAGCCUUAUUUUAAGCAAAUAAGUUAGUGUAUUUAGUUGAGUGCCAGGAGGCAGGUACCGAAGGUAUGGCUGGCGAUUGGGGUGAAGUCGUAACAAGGUAGCC